Molecule: ribosomal RNA, 667 nt
Filed under: uncultured cyanobacterium
Lineage: Bacteria; Bacillati; Cyanobacteriota
Description: bacterial SSU rRNA
Rfam family: Bacterial small subunit ribosomal RNA
Source: RNAcentral
CGGACGGGUGAGUAACGCGUGAGAACAGCCUUCAGGACGGGGAUAACAGAGGGAAACCUCUGCUAAUACCCGAUGUGCCGAAAGGUGAAAGUAAUUCGCCUGAAGAUGAGCUCGCGUCCGAUUAGCUAGUUGGUGGGGUAAGAGCUUACCAAGGCGGCGAUCGGUAGCUGGUCUGAGAGGAUGAGCAGCCACACUGGGACUGAGACACGGCCCAGACUCCUACGGGAGGCAGCAGUGGGGAAUUUUCCGCAAUGGGCGAAAGCCUGACGGAGCAAGACCGCGUGGGGGAAGAAGGCUCUUGGGUUGUCAACCCCUUUUCUCAGGGAAGAAGUUCUGACGGUACCUGAGGAAUAAGCAUCGGCUAACUCCGUGCCUGUUUUUUGCGGUAAGACGGAGGAUGCAAGCGUUAUCCGCAAUUAUUGGGCGUAAAGCGUCCGUAGGUGGCUUUUCAAGUCGGCGGUCAAAGACCGGGGCUUAACUCCGGAAAGGCCGUGGAAAACUGAAAGGCUAGAGAAAGGUAGGGGUAGGGGGAAUUCCCGGUGUAGCGGUGAAAUGCGUAGAGAUCGGGGAAGAACACCCGGUGGCGAAAGCGCCCUACUGGACCUUAUCUGACACUGAGGGACGAAAGCUAGGGGAGCGAAAGGGAAUAGAUACCCCCUGUUAGUCC